CUACGGGUUGCUGCAGUGAGGAAUAUUGCACAAUGGGGGGAACCCUGAUGCAGCAACGCCGCGUGGAGGAUGACGCAUUUCGGUGUGUAAACUCCUUUUAUAUGUCAAGAAAAUGACGGUAGCAUAUGAAUAAGCACCGGCUAACUCCGUGCCAGCAGCCGCGGUAAUACGGAGGGUGCAAGCGUUACUCGGAAUCACUGGGCGUAAAGGACGCGUAGGCGGGUUGGAAAGUCAGGUGUGAAAUCCUACGGCUUAACUGUAGAACUGCACUUGAAACUGCUAAUCUAGAGUAUGGGAGGGGGAGAUGGAAUUAGUGGUGUAGGGGUAAAAUCCGUAGAUAUCACUAGGAAUACCUAAAGCGAAGGCGAUCUCCUGGAACAUUACUGACGCUAAGGCGUGAAAGCGUGGGGAGCAAACAGGAUUAGAUACCCCAGUAGUC
This 439-nucleotide ribosomal RNA is filed under the name uncultured bacterium. RNAcentral's name for it is "partial 16S ribosomal RNA". It matches the Rfam family "Bacterial small subunit ribosomal RNA", at positions 339 to 795 of the family's 1533-position model. The record is from RNAcentral.